CUACGGGCGGCUGCAGUGAGGAAUUUUGCGCAAUGGGGGAAACCCUGACGCAGCAACGCCGCGUGAGCGAAGAAGGCCCUCGGGUCGUAAAGCUCUGUCAAGUGGGAAAAAAAUCUUUUGAUCAAUAGUCAAAAGACUUGAUGGUACCACUGGAGGAAGCACCGGCUAACUCCGUGCCAGCAGCCGCGGUAAUACGGAGGGUGCAAGCGUUGUUCGGAUUUACUGGGCGUAAAGAGCGUGGAGGCGGUUUAGCAAGACAGAUGUGAAAGCCCUGGGCUCAACCCGGGAAGUGCAUUUGAACUGCUUCACUAGAGUGUGGGAGAGGAGAUUGGAAUUCCUGGUGUAGAGGUGAAAUUCGUAGAUAUCAGGAGGAACACCCGUGGCGAAGGCGAUUCUCUGGACCAAUACUGACGCUGAGACGCGAAAGCGUGGGGAGCAAACAGGAUUAGAUACCCGGGUAGUC
RNAcentral lists this ribosomal RNA (463 nucleotides) under uncultured bacterium. Its description in RNAcentral is "partial 16S ribosomal RNA". It matches the Rfam family "Bacterial small subunit ribosomal RNA", at positions 339 to 795 of the family's 1533-position model. The record is from RNAcentral.